AAUAGAUACCCAGGUAGUCCACGCCGUAAACGAUGAGUGCUAAGUGUUAGAGGGUUUCCGCCCUUUAGUGCUGCAGCUAACGCAUUAAGCACUCCGCCUGGGGAGUACGGCCGCAAGGCUGAAACUCAAAGGAAUUGACGGGGGCCCGCACAAGCGGUGGAGCAUGUGGUUUAAUUCGAAGCAACGCGAAGAACCUUACCAGGUCUUGACAUCCUCUGCCAACCCUAGAGAUAGGGCGUUCCCCUUCGGGGGACAGAGUGACAGGUGGUGCAUGGUUGUCGUCAGCUCGUGUCGUGAGAUGUUGGGUUAAGUCCCGCAACGAGCGCAACCCUUGAUCUUAGUUGCCAGCAUUCAGUUGGGCACUCUAAGGUGACUGCCGGUGACAAACCGGAGGAAGGUGGGGAUGACGUCAAAUCAUUAUGCCCCUUAUGACCUGGGCUACACACGUGCUACAAUGGAUGGUACAAAGAGCAGCGAACCCGCGAGGGUAAGCCAAUCUCAUAAAGCCAUUCUCAGUUCGGA
RNAcentral lists this ribosomal RNA (522 nucleotides) under uncultured bacterium. RNAcentral describes it as "bacterial SSU rRNA". It matches the Rfam family "Bacterial small subunit ribosomal RNA", at positions 777 to 1297 of the family's 1533-position model. The record is from RNAcentral.